UCCCUCAUGAUUUCAUUGGACUACCGGAGUUAUAGGAGCUUAAGUACGGGAAUUUAAUUGCUCCGGUGAUUGUUUUGUACUUUGGUUCUUAUAAUUUGGGCGGUUCCGUGAUAGCUUUCGUCACCCGAAUUGUAAGUCUGGAGAGGCGUCCUCAGUGACGGACCGAGCCCAAGUUCCCUGGAAAGGGACGGCUGGGAGGGUGAGAGCCCCCGCCGGCCGACCCUGUCGCACCAUGAGGCGCCGUCAACGAGUCGGGUUGUUUGGGAAUGCAGCCAAAUCGGGCGGUAACGCGUCCUAGGCUAAAUACAGGCGAGAGACCGAUAGCGAACAAUACCACGAGGGAAAGAUGAAAAGGACUUUGAAAAGAGGGUCAAAGAGUGCUUGAAAUUGUCGGGAGGGAAGCGGAUGGGGGCCUGGCGAUGCGCCUCGGUCGUAUGCGGAACGGCUCCUGCUGGUCCGCCGAUCAGCUCGUGGCGUGGACCGUUGUCGGCCGCGCCGGCGCCCUAAGCCCGGGGGCCCUAGGUGCCUCCGGCAGCCAUCGUCGGCACGGCCGGUCUUCGCACGCCACAAGGCGCGCCCCUUGGGGCGCUGCGCUGCAACGGCUUGCGAGCUCCCCAUCUGACCUGUCUUGAAACACGGACCAAGGAGUCUGACAUGCAUGCGAGUCGACGGGUUCUGAAACCUGGGAUGCACAAGGAAGCUGAUGAGCGGGAGGCCCUCACGGGCCGCACCGCUGGCCGACCUUGAUCUUCUGUGAAGGGUUCGAGUUGGAGCACGCCUAUCGGGACCCGAAAGAUGGUGAACUAUGCCUGAGCGGGGCGAAGCCAGAGGAAACUUGGUGGAGGCUCGAAGCGAUACUGAUGUGCAAAUCGUUCGUCUGACUUAGGUAUAGGGGCGAAAGACUAAUCGAACCAUCUAGUAGCUGGUUCCCUCCGAAGUUUCCCUCAGGAUAGCUGGAGCCCAUUAUGAGUUCUAUCGGGUAAAGCCAAUGAUUAGAGGCAUCAGGGGCACAACGCCUCGACCUAUUCUCAACUUUUAAUAGAAGGACGGCACGGCUGCUCCGGUGAUCCGUGCCACUGAAUCGGGAGCUCCAAGUGGACCAUUUUGGUAAGCAAAACUGGCGAUGCAGGAUAAACCAGAAGCUGGGUUACGGUGCCAAACUGCACACUAACCUAGAACCCACAAAGGGUGUUGGUUGAUUAAGACAGUAGGACGGUGGUCAUGGAAGUCGAAAUCCGCUAAGGAGUGUGUAACAACUCACCUGCCGAAUCAACUAGCCCCGAAAAUGGAUGGCGCUGAAGCACGCGACCCACACCCGGCCAUCUGGGCGAGCCCCAUGCCCUGAUGAGUAGGAAGGCACGGCGACCGCCGCAAAACCCGGGGCGCGAGCCCGGGUGGAGCGGCCGUCGGUGCAGAUCUUGGUGGUAGUAGCAAAUAUUCAAAUGAGAACUUUGAAGGCCGAAGAGGAGAAAGGUUCCAUGUGAAUGGCACUUGCACAUGGGUAAGCUGAUCCUAAGGGACGGGGGUAACCCCGGCAGACAGCGCGAUCUCGUGCGUCCCCCGAAUGGAAUCGGGUUAAGAUUUCCUGAGCCGGGACAUGGCGGUUGACGGCGACGUUAGGAAGUCCGGAGACGCCGGCAGGGGCCUCGGGAAGAGUUAUCUUUUCUGCUUAACGGCCUGCCAACCCUGGAAUCGGUUCAGCCGGAGGUAGGGUCCAACGGUCUGAAGAGCACCGCACGUCGCGCGGUGUCCGGUGCGCCCCAGCGGCCCUUGAAAAUCCGGAGGACUGAGUACCGUCCACGCCCAGUCAUACUCAUAACCGCAUCAGGUCUCCAAGGUGAACAACAUCUGGCCAAUGGAACAAUAUAGGCAAGGGAAGUCAGCAAAACGGAUCUGUAACUUUGGGAAAAGGAUUGGCUUUGAGGGUUGGGCUUAGGGGUCCCAACCCCGAACCGUCGGCUGCCGGCAGACUGCUCGAGUGCUCCCGCGGCGAGAGCGGGCUGCCGCGUGCCGGCCGGGGGACGGACCGGGAACGGUCUCUUCGGGGGGCCUUCCCCGGGCAUCGAACAACCGACUCAGAACUGGUACGGACAAGGGGAAUCCGACUGUUUAAUUAAAACAAAGCAUUGCGAUGGUCCCCACGGAUGCUAACACAAUGUGAUUUCUACCCAGUGCUUUGAAUGUCAAAGUGAAGAAAUUCAACCAAGCGUGGGUAAACAGCGGGAGUAACUAUGACUCUCUUCAGGUAGCCAAAUGCCUCGUCAUCUAAUUAGUGACCCGCAUGAAUGGAUUAACGAGAUUCCCACUGUCCCUGUCUACUAUCCAGCGAAACCACAGCCAAGGGAACGAGACGAAGACUGCCGUCGUGUGUGACAAAGACGUGCUCUAGAAGUUUUAAUUGGUCUUCCAAUAGGUCAUCAAGUGGUACCUGAACAUAUUCUCUAGAGUCAAACUACAACAGCUGAUACAGUGAAGGAAACUCUUAGAGCUGCUAUGAUAACUGCUGCUGGGGAGGAUAAAAAAUGGAAUCUAAAAGCUGUUGCAAAAGCUUGUGAAAAUGCUAAGUCGCAAGAUGACCACAUGCUGCAAGCCUGGUUUUUUAUAGCCGCUAUGUUCGAGUUUGGAUUCUUCGCAAGCUCUUCAUUGUAUCUUCGUGUUAAAACCCUGGAAACUGUGGGGUGUAUAAAUACAUCCCCUCCACCUCUUUUAGUGGUCUGUUGCUCAUUUGUUCAGCUGUGAAACACCUUUGAAGUGCAAUGGAGUGCAAGAGCUCUAGUGAGGGUAGUGAUUUGAGAAUCAAAGCUUGAGAGUCCCUCACUAGUGACUAGGGAGUAGCAAGUGUGCAUCC
Molecule: ribosomal RNA, 2848 nt
Filed under: Saccharum spontaneum (wild sugarcane)
Lineage: Eukaryota; Viridiplantae; Streptophyta; Magnoliopsida; Poales; Poaceae
Description: eukaryotic LSU rRNA
Rfam family: Eukaryotic large subunit ribosomal RNA
Source: RNAcentral